RNAcentral lists this microRNA precursor (101 nucleotides) under Mus spretus (western wild mouse). Its description in RNAcentral is "microRNA 6411 (ENSMSPG00010005870.1)". The record is from RNAcentral. Lineage: Eukaryota; Metazoa; Chordata; Mammalia; Rodentia; Muridae.
AUCCUGGUUGCAUGUGGACUGUAGCAUGUGUAGUACAUAAUGAUCUUAUCAACAUCUUGUGAAGAUUCAGGCAUGCUUCUUCUCUUCAAACUAGCCAGGAA